Small nucleolar RNA from Suncus etruscus (white-toothed pygmy shrew), 211 nucleotides. RefSeq annotates it as small nucleolar RNA U3. Lineage: Eukaryota; Metazoa; Chordata; Mammalia; Eulipotyphla; Soricidae. The transcript has a single exon. The record is from RefSeq and is a predicted model, not a curated record.
AAGACUAUAUUUUCAGGGAUUAUUUUUAUAGUAUAUUAUUAAAGAAGUUCCUCUGAUCAUGUAGAGCACCUGAAACCACUGGAUGAGUCAGAGCAUCCUCUCCUGAGCGUAAAGUCUGUUCUAGGUAUUGCUUUUGCAACUGCCUUUUACUGUUGAUGAUCAUUUUUCUCUUCCUUUGGAAGGGCUACUGGGAGAGAAUGCAGUCUGAGUG